CGCGGGGUGGAGCGGCCUGGUAGCUCGUCGGGCUCAUAACCCGAAGGUCGUCGGUUCAAAUCCGGCCCCCGCAACCA
RNAcentral lists this transfer RNA (77 nucleotides) under Escherichia coli. RNAcentral's name for it is "tRNA-Met". It matches the Rfam family "tRNA". From Rfam's summary of the family: Transfer RNA (tRNA) molecules are approximately 80 nucleotides in length. RNAcentral also lists the same sequence under 3 other names. Lineage: Bacteria; Pseudomonadati; Pseudomonadota; Gammaproteobacteria; Enterobacterales; Enterobacteriaceae. The record is from RNAcentral.